Molecule: ribosomal RNA, 484 nt
Filed under: uncultured bacterium
Lineage: Bacteria
Description: partial 16S ribosomal RNA
Rfam family: Bacterial small subunit ribosomal RNA
Source: RNAcentral
AUUGAACGCUGGCGGCAGGCCUAACACAUGCAAGUCGAGCGGAUGAAGGGAGCUUGCUCCUGGAUUCAGCGGCGGACGGGUGAGUAAUGCCUAGGAAUCUGCCUGGUAGUGGGGGAUAACGUCCGGAAACGGGCGCUAAUACCGCAUACGUCCUGAGGGAGAAAGUGGGGGAUCUUCGGACCUCACGCUAUCAGAUGAGCCUAGGUCGGAUUAGCUAGUUGGUGGGGUAAAGGCCUACCAAGGCGACGAUCCGUAACUGGUCUGAGAGGAUGAUCAGUCACACUGGAACUGAGACACGGUCCAGACUCCUACGGGAGGCAGCAGUGGGGAAUAUUGGACAAUGGGCGAAAGCCUGAUACAGCCAUGCCGAGUGUGUGAAGAAGGUCUUCGGAUUGUAAAGCACUUUAAGUUGGGAGGAAGGGCAGUAAGUUAAUACCUUGCUGUUUUGACGUUACCAACAGAAUAAGCACCGGCUAACUUCGUG